Molecule: long non-coding RNA, 8407 nt
Organism: Equus caballus (horse)
Lineage: Eukaryota; Metazoa; Chordata; Mammalia; Perissodactyla; Equidae
Source: Ensembl
AUGUCACAGCUCUGCUCUCUGGACGGAAGUUCCACUGCUCCGCAGUGCAGUCGUGGGGCAAACGUGAAGCUCUUUUCCAGUCUUAGGCCUCUCCUUUUCUUUCGCUGGAUUUCAGCAGGAGCUGAGGAACAUCUAAAAUACAGGCUGCCUAUCGCUAUUCAAUCUCGUCAUCGUAAAUUCAUUGAUGAUUCUAUGAAACCCAAUGCUCCUACCGGAAGCAGUUCUAGAAUGAACAUCAUCCUCAGUUUCUUCUUCAUUAUUAUUGUCCAUAUGAUCAUCACUGUCAGCACCCACAACGUUUGUCAAGCACCAAAUAGUGUGAGCUGUUUGCCUUGGCAUUGGAGAUGAGGUAACAGAAACUUUUAAGCUUAGAACUUAAAAAUCUGUAACAUUGGCAUUUUUUUCACAAGCAUUUUUUGACCAUCUAUCCAACUAUUUAAAAAAUAUUUAUUGCAGGCCUACUGAACUGAGAAUACAAUGUUGAAAAAGACCCAGUUUCCCACAAAUGUUCACAGCAGCAUUAUUUAUCACAGCCAAAAGGUGGAAGCAGACAAAUGUCCAUCAAUGGAUGAAUGGAUAAACAAAACGUGGUACAUAUAGUAGAAUGUUACUCAGCUAUAAAAACAAAUGAAGUGCUGAUAAUGAAUGAACCUUGAAUACAUCAUGCUAAACGAAAGAAGCCAGACACAAAAGUCCACAUAUUAUGAUUCCAUUUAUAUGAAAUAUCCAGAAUGGGUAAAUCUAUAGACAGAAAGCACAGAUCAGUGGUUGCCAAGGGCUGGAGUGGAUGGUUAUAUAGGGAGUGACUGCAUCUUGGGUACAGGAUUUUCAUAAAAAUGUUUUGGAACUAGAUACAGGUGGUGAUUGUGCAACAAUGUCAACGUAUUAAAUACCACUAAAUCAUACACUUAAAAUGGUUAAUUUUAUGUUAUGUGAAUUUCGCCUUAAUAAAAAAUUGUUUUUAAAGACCCACUUCCUAUUCCUCACAGUCCCUCACUUCCUAAGUUUCAUGUUCAAAGUCGUACGGUCACCCAAAGACUCUCUAACGUAAUGAGGGAGACAGACGACAAUUCUGUGGUGGAGCGUUAGUUGAUACCAUUGAAAGCUGUAAAGUGGAAAAGGAUAUGAAAACUAUCAAUAGACCAAAGCUACAAUGGGAUUAGCAGAGAAUGUAGGCACUGCAGUCGGAAUGCUUCUUGGCCUAGUCCUUAAUUAGCAGAGUUUGUUUUGUUUUGUUUUGUUUGGGGUUUUUUUUAGCACUACUUGGCAGCCACCAGGUUGAUGGAGGAAGAAGGAGACGCGAGGAUGAAUGUGACAGAGACUCUGCCCGCCGUCCAACCCUCCCCGCCACUGGCUUCCAAUCUCAUGGGGGAGAGACCCAUCCACAGAUAACUGAGAAAUGAGAUGGAAUGAUAAACCAUGGGAGGGAGUCACACCACCAUCUCUGGCGCCAGCCCAGGAGGAGGCAGGGAGAUGAUCUCCACCCGAGAGAAUGAAUCACUCUAUACCCAUGCAGGGCCCGAGGGCAACCGCCGAGAGCUGAAGAGGACUCCAUGCCCCAGACUUCAUCCUGAAAGCGUAUUUGAUCCCAUUACUAAAGGAGGCCAGUUAAGCACGUGGCAAGUUGUUUCCCAGUUAGAUCAACAACUUGCUGAGAAUUAAGGAUGCAUCCAAAAUGCUAGCUGAUUCUGGUCUCCUUAUUUUUCUCUCCCCGGAAGUGCCCACCUGGCUUUCCACAUCCCCUGGGACUCUACGUUGGGAGUGGAGGCACUGAGGGGAAGGGAACCCUGUAUCUGGGGUUUCACUCUGCCAGAGAGGGUCCUCGAUGCUUUCCCUGAAGUCUCUCUCGCAGGUGUCCUUUGAAAUAGGGAUUAGGACCAUCCCUCUUUUGCAGAAGAGGUCCAGAAAGGUUAAGCAACUUGCCCAAAUCACACAGCCUAUAAAGGGUAGAACCAAGAUUUGAACCAAGACCUGUGUGACGGCACAGGCUCUGCUCUGUGUGCCUCAUCCCACAGUCUCCCCAUCUGGGUAAGAAUCAGUGCAGAGGACAUCAACCUCAACCAGGGCAAGCCCUCCGACUGGAAACAUUAAAGGAAAAAUUAGUGUAAAGCUGAAAAUGUUAAGAACCAUAGUUUAAAAUAUUAUGCACAGCACAGACAUUGCCCUCCCCUGGGUGACCCAGGUCACUUCCUCGAGACCUGAGCUCACCUUUCAGCAAUAGGGGCCAGCUAUGGAAACCUGCCACUAGGGGCAGAGCUGCCACCGAUCAGAAGCCAGAGGGCAGUGGGCGGCAGGAGGGGAGCACAUUCAGCCCACAGCUGUGUCAUGUUAGGCCUUCAUACCAUUCUUUUUUAAUUUUGGAUUUUGAGGCAAAUGUUUAAAAUUCAGGAGAUUUUACAUAAAAUACAGAUUUCUGCCUUCUCUUGACAAGCCAUGCUGGACCUGAAUUCCUGAACAUUCCCAAGAGUUGGGUGGCCAUGCUUGAGCUGGGCAGCCUCCAUCAUUCACAGGAUCUCCCUGGCUCCUCUGGGUGGCUGUGACCUUGACCGCUGCCCAAAGUCAUGUCCUCAGCACCGAGCUGAGACCCGCAAGGUUUCUGAUGAAGGAGCAAAGUGUAGGCAGACCUGAGUUCCACUCCGUCAUGAUGAAAAGGCCAGAACUGGCAUUUUAAAAAUUCAUCGUCUUCUAAUAAUAAAACUCUGUAUUUACAGAGAGCCAUGCUUCUGAGAACAUCAGGCUUGUGCAAACAUCACUCCGGGAAUGUUCACAACAGAGGCUCAGGGAAGUGAGAAGGUGACUCGGACUGGGGUCUCUGCAGUUAAAAGAAACAGGCACGAAGGAAAAGUGGCCUGCUCCACGCGGGGUGGACAGCGGCCAGAGGGAUGGGUGUGUGCUCAAAGAACGAAUAUGUGCUGAGCGCCCAUGUGAACCAGGCACCAAGGAAGCCAGUCUUUGCCCUGGGGAGCCUCUGCCUGCUGAGUCCUGCGCUCGAUCCCUUAUUCCUUGACAGUAAACAGAUGGUGGUAGAGGGAGCUGCUCCUUCGAGAGCCAGAGGACAAAGUCUACCUUUGUCACUUCCUGCACAUCCACCCUUGUCUUGCACCCACCCUCUUUAUAUCAGGCUCUGAGCCUUGGCACAUUCUGGUCCUUCUGCAACUUGUCCAGCUGGCAAGGGCUGCUCAUCCUUCUGGCCUUGGCCCAGGGACCACCCACUCUGUAAAGCAAUUAUCGUAUCAUUUGAUAAUUCUUUUCCAGUCUCCCCACUGGGCCAUCUUCUCCAUGAGGGGAGGAGCACGUUUGUGGGGGGCAUCUCCGGUUCCCUGGCGUCGUGCUUCCAGGUGGAAGGGCUUCAGCCGGAACAACAUUCCUGGCCCUCCUUUCAUCCUCACUCAUUCCUUCCUUGCAGAGGAGUAAAUGGUGAGUUGAAUUGGUGAGCUUGGAGAGAGCCUGGUGCUGGUACGUUGGUCUCCAUCCUUCCUUUCUUUUUCAGGUGUCACUCCUGUGGAGGAGCUCGGUUAUCAGCUCUCAGCCUGGCAGUGAGCGUCCUGGGCAUGCUUUGCCCUGUGGGGGAGGCUGCGGUCGUUCGGCUCUGCAGUAAUGGGUUGGGUGAGUGUGGGAAACAACAGGAGGCUGCGUAUCUAAGCCCUGUCUCCAAUCCAGCUUUUACCAAUAACAAGGCUGAUAUUUUAAUCUCCAUCUGUCAGACUCUUGAAUGCAUCUCUCUAUUGGUUUUGAACUCAGAGGAUGGAACAGGAGUAUGAUUUUUCUUUCCUAGAACCAUAAUAGCAUCUCUUUUCUAGCCCCUGUGCCCAGCAUACCGCCUGGCACAGAGCGGGUGUUCCCCAUCUGUUGGAUAACGAAUUAGUCGAAGGUCUGGGGUGGGAGGCCUCUGCUUCUCCUCCCUCACUACAGGAAAAGUGCAAAGCACACCCACUGCCAUGGGCUGAUGAGUCCACGUGCUUUCCAGGCAGGAGUGGAGGCAGGGGAAGCCCCCAAUUUCAUUGGCUGAGGCUUCCUCUCUUUGAGGAGAUUACGUAUGAAAUGGAAUUAGCCUCAACUUGAAAAGCAAGGGGCAAAACCCCUAUGGAUCUUUUUAUCAGAAGAAUAGAAACAAUGCGCAUUUGAUAUAAUUUAAUUCUUUAUCAGGGAUGGAAAUUACUGUUCAAAUUUUUGUUUAAAAAACUCUCAGCUGUCUAAAAGACACAAACAUUGAACGCCUCUCAGCCAAGCUGUGGCUCUGCACACAGGACUGUGACCCGACUUCCAAGGUUCUGGCUCCCCACUUUGGUCUUCCUCCAUCAGCAGAGCUGGGAAAGGAGGUGCUGCCUGCCCGCCCGGCUGUGAGGAGAGGAGAAACCCCACGGCAGGUGUCGGCUGAGGGCUGGAGCUCAGGUGGAAACUGUAGUUGGGCAGCGGUGAUCAUUGAGGCUGUAGGACAACACAAGCCCCAGGGAAUGACAAGGUGAAAAAAUGUUUUUUAAAAAGCAUAAAAGGGAAAAUAAUAAGAGGGACACAAAAGAGAUCUCAAGACAUCUAUCGACAGGAUGGUGAAGGAGACUGUAGAAUUUUCCCCAAAAAAGUAAAUAAAAAAUGUUAAAUUAAAAAUUAAUUGACAAAGUAAGCACCCCAUCAUCAUCAGAAAUUUCUGCUGACUUGGUGCCGAAGUAGGAUUGGCUCCUAAAAUGAAAUCUUCAAGGCCACAAAACAGAUAUUUUUCUUUCCCUGUCAUUUUUUUCUGUGUGGGGGAGGGAUGAUGGAGGGUAAGAACUGGAACCCCCUAUCACGCAGGAGGGGUGCCUGCCUGGGAGGGAGGGUGGGCCAGCAUCAGGAGCAGGAGGCGCCGGGUCUGCUUGAUGGGAAAAAGAAACAAAACAAAAAGACAGGGGGCCCAUUGAUUAAAUGCAGGUCCCAUAGGAUACGCUCCCAUCUAUCCCUGUUCUUUUCGUUGCAACUCAGUGUGCUGAGAUGGGGUAGCUACUGCUUCAGGACCCAGGUUGGGAUGUUGUCUCUUCCGCUUACCCAAUUUUGAUGUUGGGCAAAUUGAUUAAUUUUGCUGUGCCUCAGUUUCCCCAUUUGUAAAGCAAGGAUAAAAGCAUUUAUUAUCUCAGAAGUUGUUGCGCAAAUUAAAUAAAACGAUAUUACAUACCCCACCUAAGAAUAUCUUAUCACCUUGUUGUGGAUCCAGAAAUUCCAUCCUUAGAAAGCUUCUCUCUCAUGCACCUCUUUGGAAAUCAGCCAUUUAGAUUGCUUCCUCGUGCUGUAGCUGCCCCAGGAAGCAAGGUCCUUCUGGGAUGGGCUGCAGCUGGCACUGGGGUGGAGAAGGCUAACAUGAUAGUCAUAACUACUUCCAUGAACUGAGCUGUUCGUCUGUUCCGGGCAGGAGUCCAUCCUCCCAACAACCUCAUGAAGCGGGUACUCUUACCUUUGCACAUAAGGAAACCAAGGCACGGAGAGGUUAAGUAACUCUCUUCAUGUCACAAAUCUAGUAAGUUUUGUCAAGUUCUGCCCUGCCUGGCAUGUGCUUUGCCUUAGUCUCUCUGUGCCCUCCUUCCCUCCUACCCUCAAUUCCAUCCUCAGCCCAGACUGGAAGGAGAGCAUAGACGAUAAGAGAGGAGCUCUGAGAGAGACUGAGAAACUGCGGUGGACUUGCCUGGGUGGCAUCCUCUUGCUAGGGCCAUGACUUUGGGCAAGUUACUUAACUGCUUUCUGCUUCUGAAGCCCCCUCUGAAAAUAGACAACAUCUCUGUAAAUUAGAGAUAUGGAUGGUGCCGCCCAGAGGGCUGUCAUGAGGAUUCAAUGAGGUAAUUAUGGAACGUGCUCACAGGGGUGACUGGUAUGUAUUAAGUAUUCAAUAGAUGUUGGCUCUUCUGAUCUGUAUUGGAUUCAUCCUCUCAGCCAGAGCAUUCCUAAAGGGAGACCGAGCAAGAAGCAGCGGGAGGAGGGAAGAGGGGGGCCAUCGGUCACCCAUGACUGCUAGUGCCCUGUAAUCAGAUCUUAGCAGACUCUUCUCUCAGAGAUGCAUGAGGGCGUUUGCUUGAAUCUGCUAAAAGAAAUAACUGGUGCUCGUGGUCACCAGAUUGAACAGCUAAUCACAGCUCUCCAUCUGUGAUUAGAAAGGACUGCCGUGAGUGGUGUGAGAACGGAGAGCUUGUUAGGCAAGAAUUGAAGGAGCAUACGCCGCUUCUAGAGGCAAAACGUGCAAUGAACAUCAGAAAUCGCUGGGUCUCAGACAUGAAUCGGGGAAUGGCUUCUGAUGUUUUUUUCCUUUUUAAAUAUCCAAAGCCUUAAAAAUGAGGACCCAGGGCACCGGAGCCUGGACCUCUGGCUGAAUUAGCUGCCACGUCUUCUGAUCACUGUCUCUCUUGCCAACAGGGAGCGGAGGCCCCCUCCCUCACCCUCACCCAGCUGCAAGGUCAAGUGGAGGGCGGGCAUCGAUGCUCCACAGGUGUGCUGUGUCUGCCUGACCAACAGCUUCCAGUGCACACACUCAUGUGUGUAAGCCUGUUCCUGCGCCCCUGCCUCUGCUGACUGGACCCCAAGGAAGGCACCUGACCCAAGGGCCAUAGUCAUCUGGCUUAGAGAGAUGGGCUGGACCAAUCAAAUUCCUUUGCUCAGCAAUUCAAACUAAGAAAGAUAGAGACGAUGCAUUUACCUGCUAGUUGCAAGAUCCCCAGCUGAAUGGUCCUGCAGUCGAGUUGGACAUGGGGAGAACUUGCCUGGAUGGAAGGGCCUGCCCAUGGCCCAACAUAAAGAAGCAGAUGAGAGGUGUGUGGCCAUGUCUGACCAAGGUGAAGGGCCAGAAUGAAGGUCCCCAGAUCCAGGGGUGUCCCCGAGGGGCUUGGCCUGAUUAUAGCUCCAUGAAGAUCUCAGGAUGGACUCUGUUUUAAUAGUGCUGGCUGAGUAGGAGCCUCUUUAUUGUGACCAGCUGAACCCAAUCCUGGUAUUUAGUAAUCUUCUACAAGAUGCCAUCUGAUUGCAGAUCUCUGACAUCAGAGCGAAUCAGCCUGGCCGCGGCUCUAGCUUGGAGUGGGGCCGACCGAUGGAACCAUGGGGCUGAUUUGUGUGGUUACCAGGCCUGUUUUCUUAGGGUGGUGGGGGAGGUAUAUGAUUCUGGGAGGAGCCUCUAAAAGAAACACUUAAGACCUACUCAUAGGUAAGUGACAAAUGCUUCUUAAUUCAGAAAUUUCCUCCUGGGGUCAGCAUAUACAUAACCAUUCAACAGAUAUUCAUUGGAUGCGGUUGACGUUCAACUCAUUGUGCUACGUGCUGAGAGUGAUCCAAAGAUAGAACAUUCAUGAAGCUGUUGUUCUAGACUUAAAAUUUUGAAAAAAAGCAUGCACUGUAGAAAUCAAGAUAAAAAGUGAUCAUUGUCAUCAAGAUGUACCAAUAAAACACCAUAGGCAUUCAGAGAAGAAACCAACCACUUCCUUCUGGAAGGAUAAUGUGAAAUGUUGAGGCCAAGGUGAUAUUUUGUCUGGCCCUUGCCCCCUUGACCGACAGGUAGCAGUUGGUGUUUAGCUGGAGAGUGAGAAGAAAAGGAAAGAAUCUAAAGUGUAGAUGCAGACUGAGGCCAGAUCUUAGGUGAUGAAAAAUAUCAAAUGUGGAAUCUGAGUUUUAUUCUGAGAGCAAUGUGAUGUUGCUGGAGGGUUUUGAACAGAACAAUGGAGGGCAGAAGUAGCCUUUAGAAAAACUACCACAGAUUGUAGGAGGGAGGGAAGCCCUAGUGAAGCGUGAGGAACUUUCCACAUCUCACCGAGUUGUGGGGAGGGCGCGCUUCCCACCCCGGGGCACAUUUACUUCUGUUCCCUCCCUGGGGUCUAAAGGAGCUUUCCCCUCACUAACAAAUUCCUUUCCUCCUCCUGACAGACCCCUGCCUCCCUCCACCGCAAAACAUUGCCAAAUGGAUUUAAUUCAAAUUCUAUGUAAUAAAAGCAUAAGGGCAAAAUAAAUGAGAAUGCUUUAAGUAACAUGCUCUGGCAUCUCAUAAAAGCCUCUUAAAUUGAUGACAUAAGAGCGCAUGGUGUAGACUCCAGAAAAAGGCGGGUUUUAUGGGAACUCUGGCAGAGCCCCAAAGUGGAGUCGCGCUGCGGUGGCUGCAGUCAUAACUCUUCCUCUUAUCACGUUUUGUGCUUGGGAUGCUGCACCCUGCACAACAAGUUUCCCUUCCCUAACCAGGGCAUAGGUUUAAAAACAAAAACCCGCAGUCGUUAGCAAUUCCAGGCAGCUCUGACCAGGCUCAUUAUACCCGGCAUCUUGGCUGCUAGAAUCCUGAGGUCUGUUUUGCAAUGAUUGUGAAAACCAGGAAUGUGAAUGAGUUAUCCCAAAGUUGAGAAAGAUCUGUUUUUGCACCAGCCUGGCAGCCCUGGGGGGCUGGUUUUGCACAGCGCUUAGCCGAAUCUGGUAUUCA